Molecule: ribosomal RNA, 500 nt
Filed under: uncultured bacterium
Lineage: Bacteria
Description: bacterial SSU rRNA
Rfam family: Bacterial small subunit ribosomal RNA
Source: RNAcentral
GAUGUCUACUAGUUGUCGGGGAUUAAUUUCCUUGGCAACGCAGCUAACGCGUGAAGUAGACCGCCUGGGGAGUACGGUCGCAAGAUUAAAACUCAAAGGAAUUGACGGGGACCUGCACAAGCGGUGGAUGAUGUGGAUUAAUUCGAUGCAACGCGAAAAACCUUACCUACGCUUGACAUGUCCGGAACCCUGAAGAGAUUUGGGGGUGCUCGAAAGAGAGCCGGAACACAGGUGCUGCAUGGCUGUCGUCAGCUCGUGUCGUGAGAUGUUGGGUUNNNNNNNNCAACGAGCGCAACCCUUAUCAUUAGUUGCUACGCAAGGGCACUCUAAUGAGACUGCCGGUGACAAACCGGAGGAAGGUGGGGAUGACGUCAAGUCCUCAUGGCCCUUAUGUGUAGGGCUUCACACGUCAUACAAUGGUCGGUACAGAGGGUUGCGAAGCCGCGAGGUGGAGCCAAUCCCAAAAAACCGAUCGUAGUCCGGAUUGCAGUCUGCAACUC